GGGGAUUUAGUUCAGUGGUAGAGCACUUGCCUAGCAAGCACAAGGCCCUGGGUUCGGUCCCCAGCUCCA
Non-coding RNA from Rattus norvegicus (Norway rat), 69 nucleotides. The record is from Rfam. Lineage: Eukaryota; Metazoa; Chordata; Mammalia; Rodentia; Muridae.